Molecule: long non-coding RNA, 395 nt
Filed under: Citrus maxima (pomelo)
Lineage: Eukaryota; Viridiplantae; Streptophyta; Magnoliopsida; Sapindales; Rutaceae
Description: long non-coding RNA (CMAX_LNC001371)
Source: RNAcentral
GAGGCAGCUUCAGACCGUCGAUCGGCGACGCAGCCGGCCCCAUUGGACAGGUGUACGGAUGCCCCUUGUCGCUGUUCAACGGCAGGGCAAAGCUCAAGAACUUGUCCACCAUGUCCAGAGUCAGAAGAGGUGACUGCGGGUUUUCCAACUCCGACUUGCUCCUUUCCUGCCGGAGGAAACCCGGAUGAAUCGGAAUCGCUCCGGCCACACGCAACGGGCUCAAGUCCGCGUCACCUGCACGUGCCGCCACUUCAUGCACUACGUUCCCUCCGGAGCUGUCUCCAAUGAGGAAGACGCGUUGAAAAUCCACAUGUUCAGUCAGCCAAUUAUUCUCCCGAGCCUGAGCCUGAGCCAGUGAUAGUGACCGGAGCCAAAGGAGGGCUUCGAAACCAUCG